CUCUUCUCCCUCGAUGUCUCUCUUCUCUUUAUCCUCUUUUUGUUUGUGAUUAGGAUUUGUUUUACAUACUAACAGUUGUUUUUGGCUUGCUUUGUAAGUGGAGUGUGUUGAUUCUCUGAAGCAGCUAAAGGAGAAUAAGAAUUUGAUUCGCAUCUUCAUUCUGCUUUUGCAGGAAUGAUAUUGAAGUAGAAGCACUAGUGAUGAAUUGAGAAGAAUACCAGCUAGCACUACCUUCCCUUCCCAAAUGGCCUGAAGGAUUGCUAAUAGCAUACAUGUGUAAGUGACACAAAUUGGGGGAGGAGCCCCUGCUGAAAUUUUACUCAGAACCAUUGAGUGUGUGACAUUUUAAUAUAUCAGUCCACACAGUUAACUGGUUCAUGAUACAUCAGAUCCAAUGGUGAAGAAGUUAGGUGUUGACUCACUUCCUGCUUUGGUUGGUUGGACUUCGAACGGGGAGAAGCAUAUCUUAAAAACAGGAGUCUCUGUAAAAGAUCUAAAAUCUGCAGUUCACGAUCUUAGUGGUUUACUUGAUGGUUAAGAGAAAGAAGAAUAAAAAGGCUGGUUCAACAAGCAGAAAACAACAGACUGAACCUCUUUCUCCUUGGGUAUCAUCUACCUUGGUAGUUGAGCUUUUGUUAGUAGAAUCUGGUGCUUGCAAGCAAAUUGGGUGGAAAUGUGGCUGGUUUAAGAUAUUGUUUCUUUAAAUCUGUUGUUUUCUAUAGGUAGAACUACUG
Daucus carota subsp. sativus is the source of this 734-nucleotide long non-coding RNA. RefSeq lists it as uncharacterized. NCBI's taxonomy places the organism in Eukaryota, Viridiplantae, Streptophyta, Magnoliopsida, Apiales, Apiaceae. The transcript has 4 exons. The record is from RefSeq and is a predicted model, not a curated record.